RNAcentral lists this ribosomal RNA (695 nucleotides) under Phomopsis sp. B30-122. RNAcentral describes it as "eukaryotic LSU rRNA". The stretch from base 184 to 337 matches the Rfam family "5.8S ribosomal RNA". The record is from RNAcentral. Lineage: Eukaryota; Fungi; Ascomycota; Sordariomycetes; Diaporthales; Diaporthaceae.
GAGUGAUCUUUGCUGGACGCGCCUCGGCGCACCCAGAAACCCUUUGUGAACUUAUACCUUACUGUUGCCUCGGCGCAGGCCGGCCUCCCUGGAGGCCCCUCUGAGAGGAGGAGCAGCCCGCCGGCGGCCAACUAAACUCUUGUUUCUUAGUGAAUCUCUGAGUAAAAAAACAUAAUGAAUCAAAACUUUCAACAACGGAUCUCUUGGUUCUGGCAUCGAUGAAGAACGCAGCGAAAUGCGAUAAGUAAUGUGAAUUGCAGAAUUCAGUGAAUCAUCGAAUCUUUGAACGCACAUUGCGCCCUCUGGUAUUCCGGAGGGCAUGCCUGUUCGAGCGUCAUUUCAACCCUCAAGCACUGCUUGGUGUUGGGGCACCGCCUGUAAAAGGGCGGGCCCUGAAAUCUAGUGGCGAGCUCGCCAGGACCCCGAGCGUAGUAGUUACAUCUCGCUCUGGAAGGCCCUGGCGGUGCCCUGCCGUUAAACCCCCAACUUCUGAAAUUUUGACCUCGGAUCAGGUAGGAAUACCCGCUGAACUUAAGCAUAUCAUUUAAGCGGAGGAGGGAAACCCCUGGCCCACAAACUUGGGAAUAAUCUUAUGUGCCGGCCAGCGCUGGAGCUCUAGAGAGGACCCCCGCAUACUCGUUCUAAGAAUCUGAAAAAAAUAAGAAAUAAAUUCAAGAAUUUGGUUCGCUAUAAAA